GGAAUGGUAACCCGAAAAAAUGGGAUAGCCAUUUACCAAUGAUGCUUAAUUUGUCUUUAAACUCUGUGCUCAGCCCAUGUAAAAGUAUUAACUUACUUGUAACUUACCUGUAAAUCCAAUACUUAUAGGAGAAAAAAUAAAAUCGGCGCAAAUGAAAAAAUGAAAUCGGCGCAAAUGAAAGAAUGAAAAUUUUCAAAAUCGGCGCAAAUGUCAUACGCCCC
Molecule: long non-coding RNA, 221 nt
Filed under: Mytilus galloprovincialis (Mediterranean mussel)
Lineage: Eukaryota; Metazoa; Mollusca; Bivalvia; Mytilida; Mytilidae
Source: RNAcentral